This 309-nucleotide long non-coding RNA is filed under the name Ananas comosus (pineapple). RNAcentral's name for it is "long non-coding RNA (ACOM_LNC043355)". Lineage: Eukaryota; Viridiplantae; Streptophyta; Magnoliopsida; Poales; Bromeliaceae. The record is from RNAcentral.
GGUCCAAAUAUGACAGAAGAAAGGAUUUAUUGCACUACUAGUCCUUCAAUUUUUAAAUUCUGACUUUCAAUGAUGUUUCAUUUUCAUCGGUGAACUUUCAACAACAUUUUGUUUCUAGCAUUUUCGUAAAAUAAAACCCAUUGUUUAUACCUCAAAACGUCACAUACACAGACAUAAAAUACAAAACACGAUAUGACUCAGAUACGACGACUUGGCAGCUUAAAAAAAGAUUAGGACAUAGAUACGAUAUAGACACCACUAUUAAUAUAUUUUUGGCGCUUCUAUUGGUAUCUUGAUGAGGAAAAUUCC